Molecule: ribosomal RNA, 408 nt
Filed under: uncultured bacterium
Lineage: Bacteria
Description: bacterial SSU rRNA
Rfam family: Bacterial small subunit ribosomal RNA
Source: RNAcentral
GUGCAGCCGCCGCGGUAAUACGGAGGGUGCAAGCGUUAUCCGGAUUCAUUGGGUUUAAAGGGUGCGCAGGCGGAUACUUAAGUCAGUGGUGAAAUCCCGGGGCUCAACCCCGGAACUGCCAUUGAUACUGAAUAUCUGGAAUACGGUUGAAGUGGGCGGAAUGUAGCAUGUAGCGGUGAAAUGCAUAGAGAUGCUACAGAACACCGAUCGCGAAGGCAGCUCACUAAGCCGAUAUUGACGCUCAGGCACGAAAGCGUGGGGAGCGAACAGGAUUAGAUACCCUGGUAGUCCACGCCGUAAACGAUGAUAACUCGUUGUUGGCGACACACAGUCAGCGACUAAGCGAAAGCGAUAAGUUGUCCACCUGGGGAGUACGAUCGCAAGGUUGAAACUCAAAUGAAUUGACGG